This 376-nucleotide ribosomal RNA is filed under the name uncultured Legionella sp. Its description in RNAcentral is "bacterial SSU rRNA". It matches the Rfam family "Bacterial small subunit ribosomal RNA", at positions 283 to 651 of the family's 1533-position model. Lineage: Bacteria; Pseudomonadati; Pseudomonadota; Gammaproteobacteria; Legionellales; Legionellaceae. The record is from RNAcentral.
GUAGCUGGACUGAGAGGUUGGACAGCCACACUGGGACUGAGACACGGCCCAGACUCCUACGGGAGGCAGCAGUGGGGAAUAUUGGACAAUGGGGGCAACCCUGAUCCAGCGAUGCCGCGUGUGUGAAGAAGGCCUGAGGGUUGUAAAGCACUUUCAGUGGGGAGGAGAGGUUGCAGGUUAAGAGCCAGUGAUUGAGACGUUACCCACAGAAGAAGCACCGGCUAACUCCGUGCCAGCAGCCGCGGUAAUACGGAGGGUGCGAGCGUUAAUCGGAAUUAUUGGGCGUAAAGGGUGCGUAGGUGGUUGAAUAAGUUAUCUGUGAAAACCCUGGGCUUAACUUGGGGGAGAGAGAUAAAACUGUCUGACUAGAGUAUGG